GCCAGUCUAUGGUUGUAAUAUGAUUCGUAAAAACAUUCAGUACAGCUUAUACAUUCGUAGGGAACACAUAGGAAAUUGUUGAAAAAUUAAGAGCCGAUUUUGAACAUUAAGUUGUUAAAUGGAACCAUCUCGAUGUCCCAAACGACCUUUGAAUGCAUACGUAAUGUGGAUGAACUGUUCUGGACGUAGCAUCAUCAAGAAGAAACAUCCCCAAUCUAGCUUCAUCCAAGUGGCCAGAAAAAGCAGUCGUUUAUGGUCAAAGAUGUGCGAGUACGACAAAUCCAUGUGGCAUACAUAUGCGUCCGUGGCAAUGAUUCAAUAUAAAGCAAGGCUCGGCAUUUGGAAAUCCCAACAAGCUCAGUCGAAGUCAUCCACAGUCUCACACAGUCACUCGUCGUCGGAAACUGCGGGAAGCCACCAACAAUGGUCUGAACAUUGAAGCAUCAGCCAUGCAGUCACAAUUCAACAGGGAUUACAGUCUGAAGAUUACAGAUUACAGACGAAUCUCUUAAAGAAGUUAAAUGUUUCGGAUGUUAUUUGGCAUUUUUGGCAGACUUAUCCGCCUGGCAAUAUGCGAACAAAAAAUCUUAAUCGUUCAAUAAAAUGCAAAUAAAGGUAAUAA
This 622-nucleotide long non-coding RNA is filed under the name Drosophila guanche. The record is from RNAcentral. Lineage: Eukaryota; Metazoa; Arthropoda; Insecta; Diptera; Drosophilidae.